UAAAAAAAAAAUCGAAUCGCAAUAAAGUAAGUACUAUGUGUGAACAUACAACAUUGAGCUGAAACUCCAUAACCAAAAAGAAAGGAAAAGCUUGAAGAGAAGUUGUAUGUGAUCAAAGAUGAAAUGUAAUUCUCAAUCUCAAUUGUUAUAAUAGAGAGGACUACUAUAUAUAGCUAAGACAAGUAGUUAGAUCCUAACUAACUCCUCUCAACAACCUCUAACUAACCCCUAAAAUUAGUUAGCACAAAGAGAAAACAGAAUUUAC
RNAcentral lists this long non-coding RNA (265 nucleotides) under Lathyrus oleraceus (garden pea). Its description in RNAcentral is "Pisum sativum (pea) long non-coding RNA (PSAT_LNC017141)". The record is from RNAcentral. Lineage: Eukaryota; Viridiplantae; Streptophyta; Magnoliopsida; Fabales; Fabaceae.